This 65-nucleotide transfer RNA is filed under the name Sosibia gibba. RNAcentral describes it as "tRNA-Leu". Lineage: Eukaryota; Metazoa; Arthropoda; Insecta; Phasmatodea; Lonchodidae. The record is from RNAcentral.
UCUAAUAUGGCAGAAUAGUGCUAUAGAUUUAAGACCUAUAUAUAAAGAUAUAUCUUUUAUUAGAA